RNAcentral lists this transfer RNA (63 nucleotides) under Amblyomma americanum (Lone Star tick). RNAcentral describes it as "tRNA-Ser". The record is from RNAcentral. Lineage: Eukaryota; Metazoa; Arthropoda; Arachnida; Ixodida; Ixodidae.
GACUUUUUAACUAUUUAAGUGUAUAUUUUGAAAAUAUAAAAAAGAAAAAUUUUCUAAAAGUCU